Long non-coding RNA from Fundulus heteroclitus (mummichog), 1042 nucleotides. RefSeq lists it as uncharacterized. NCBI's taxonomy places the organism in Eukaryota, Metazoa, Chordata, Actinopteri, Cyprinodontiformes, Fundulidae. The record is from RefSeq and is a predicted model, not a curated record. The transcript is spliced from 3 exons.
UUAAUUUCAGCCGAUGACGUCAUUCCAGACCGCCGCUUCAAAAUGUGCUACGUUUUUCUUUCUUUGCUGGUGCUGAGCUGGAUCCGAAGCAAACCGCAGUGGACUACUUUUUCAACACGCAGUGACCAUUUCGAAGAAGAAUGUUUUGAACAUGACAUGAGAGUGAGGAUUUUCGGUCACAGCAGUGUCAGAAAUUGGUGGGAGGACUGUGGAUGAGGCCACGAGAUGUAUGAUGUUCUUCAUCAUGGACUAUGGCCUGUCAAGGCAGUACAACUUUGUGGGCUGGAAUGGAAAGUAGGAAUUCAGGACUUUAAAUCUGUUUGAAGUCAUAUUUGAUUUUGGACCAUUUCUCUCCUUUCUCUUUCAUACUUCCUACAGUAUACCAUAACGUGUUCAACUGUCUCUUGUUGCUCACAAUAUUCACAUCUGCCAUUGUUAUGUUUACCUAUUUAGAAUAAUGUAUUAUUUAAUCCUGUGUGCCAAAAUCUAAGUCCUGAUAUAAUUGUUUCUUCUCCUAAGUUCUUCCUUGCCCAUCUCAUUUUUCCCACUCUCCUCUGGAUCAUGUAAAACCAUCUUCUGUUUCUCUUCCUCCCAUUGCUUUUGCCACCUUUCCUUCAUAUUCUGAUUAAUAAUGCUCUUUAUUUCCAUCUUACUAAUUUUAACUGACACAUCAAUGUCUUUUCUUGUUGUGGCAUCUUUUGCAGCCUUAUCUGCCAUUUCAUUUCCUUUAAUUCCCAUGUGUGCUGGUACCCACAAAAAUAUGACUGUAAUGUCCAUCAUUUGAAUUCUGUAUAAUGUUUGCUGGAUUUCUAUCAAAAUAUCUGGUCUACUGUCUGAGUGUUUUAUCGGUAAACUGAUUAGUGAUGAAGAUGAAUCUGAACAAAUAAUCACUCUCAGAGGUCUUAUUUCUUCUACCCAUUGCAUUGCAAACAAAAUUGCUAACAUUUCUCUUGUGUAUACUGAUAUAUUAUUACUUGUCCUCUUUCCUACUGUAAUAUGAAACUCUGGAACAAUAAAAGAUACUCCUAUCUUGUUAUCUAAA